UGGGGGAUAUUGCGCAAUGGGGGAAACCCUGACGCAGCAACGCCGCGUGAAGGAAGAAGGUCUUCGGAUUGUAAACUUCUUUUGUCAGGGACGAAGAAAGUGACGGUACCUGACGAAUAAGCUCCGGCUAACUACGUGCCAGCAGCCGCGGUAAUACGUAGGGAGCGAGCGUUGUCCGGAUUUACUGGGUGUAAAGGGUGCGUAGGCGGCCGAGCAAGUCAGUUGUGAAAACUAUGGGCUUAACCCAUAACGUGCAAUUGAAACUGUCCGGCUUGAGUGAAGUAGAGGUAGGCGGAAUUCCCGGUGUAGCGGUGAAAUGCGUAGAGAUCGGGAGGAACACCAGUGGCGAAGGCGGCCUACUGGGCUUUAACUGACGCUGAGGCACGAAAGCAUGGGUAGCAAACAGGAUUAGAUACCCUGGUAGUCCAUGCCGUAAACGAUGAUUACUAGGUGUGGGGGGACUGACCCCUUCCGUGCCGCAGUUAACACAAUAAGUAAUCCACCUGGGGAGUACGGCCGCAAGGUUGAAACUCAAAGGAAUUGACGGGGGCCCGCACAAGCAGUGGAGUAUGUGGUUUAAUUCGAAGCAACGCGAAGAACCUUACCAGGUCUUGACAUCCUGAGAAUCCUUAAGAGAUUAGGGAGUGCCUUCGGGAACUCAGAGACAGGUGGUGCAUGGUUGUCGUCAGCUCGUGUCGUGAGAUGUUGGGUUAAGUCCCGCAACGAGCGCAACCCUUGCUAUUAGUUGCUACGCAAGAGCACUCUAAUAGGACUGCCGUUGACAAAACGGAGGAAGGUGGGGACGACGUCAAAUCAUCAUGCCCCUUAUGACCUGGGCUACACACGUACUACAAUGGCCAUUAACAGAGGGAAGCAAAACCGCGAGGCAGAGCAAACCCCUAAAAAUGGUCCCAGUUCGGAUUGUAGGCUGCAACCCGCCUACAUGAAGUUGGAAUUGCUAGUAAUCGCGGAUCAGCAUGCCGCGGUGAAUACGUUCCC
Molecule: ribosomal RNA, 999 nt
Filed under: uncultured bacterium
Lineage: Bacteria
Description: bacterial SSU rRNA
Rfam family: Bacterial small subunit ribosomal RNA
Source: RNAcentral